CCUGGCAUCUACAGGGGGAUAACUGAUGGAAACGUCAGCUAAGACCGCAUAGGUGUAGAGAUCGCAUGAACUCUAUAUGAAAAGUGCUACGGGACUGGUAGAUGAUGGACUUAUGGCGCAUUAGCUGGUUGGUAGGGUAACGGCCUACCAAGGCGACGAUGCGUAGCCGACCUGAGAGGGUGACCGGCCACACUGGGACUGAGACACGGCCCAGACUCCUACGGGAGGCAGCAGUAGGGAAUUUUCGGCAAUGGGGGGAACCCUGACCGAGCAACGCCGCGUGAAGGAAGAAGUAAUUCGUUAUGUAAACUUCUGUCAUAGAGGAAGAACGGUGGAUAUAGGGAAUGAUAUCCAAGUGACGGUACUCUAUAAGAAAGCCACGGCUAACUACGUGCCAGCAGCCGCGGUAAUACGUAGGUGGCGAGCGUUAUCCGGAAUUAUUGGGCGUAAAGAGGGAGCAGGCGGCACUAAGGGUCUGUGGUGAAAGAUCGAAGCUUAACUUCGGUAAGCCAUGGAAACCGUAGAGCUAGAGUGUGUGAGAGGAUCGUGGAAUUCCAUGUGUAGCGGUGAAAUGCGUAGAUAUAUGGAGGAACACCAGUGGCGAAGGCGACGAUCUGGCGCAUAACUGACGCUCAGUCCCGAAAGCGUGGGGAGCAAAUAGGAUUAGAUACCCUAGUAGUCCACGCCGUAAACGAUGAAUACUAAGUGUUGGGAGUCAAAUCUCAGUGCUGCAG
Molecule: ribosomal RNA, 734 nt
Filed under: uncultured bacterium
Lineage: Bacteria
Description: bacterial SSU rRNA
Rfam family: Bacterial small subunit ribosomal RNA
Source: RNAcentral